This 1072-nucleotide long non-coding RNA is filed under the name Salmo salar (Atlantic salmon). RNAcentral describes it as "lncRNA (ENSSSAG00000094648.1)". The record is from RNAcentral. Lineage: Eukaryota; Metazoa; Chordata; Actinopteri; Salmoniformes; Salmonidae.
CUGUGCGCUGCUCUUGUGGGCUGUGGUGUCUGGAGUUAUGUUCUUUGGAUAGAGUGGUGUGGGGACCACAGGUGACCUUUCUGUCUUCCUCUCUCCUGAGGGUCCCAGCAGAGCACUGGUGUGAGUAUCUUGGGGAGGUUUGAUCUUUAACUGACAAGGGGAAUGUGCUGGUGUGGGAGGAGGAGUUGUUCUGGUUUUGAUUACUUGUGCUGAGUCUGUGUUCCAGAGGUUCCCUAUGAGAAGCAGUGGUAUUGCCAAUGAGGUGAUGUGAGGGUGUGGUAGUGAGGGUUGUGGUAGGCUCCAGUUGUUCUCUUAGAGUGUGGAUUCUGGUGUCUCUGUGUUGUAGUAAUUCUAUGACUGCUGACAAGUCCCUUUGUAGCUCCUCCCUGAUGUCAGCUACCUCUCUCCUCAUGAUGCUCUCGACCAUUGACAGUUUCUCUCUUAGCUCCUCCUUAUCCUGCCUCAGAACCACAAUGAAAAUGUAAAGGUAGAGAACACACAGAAGGCUGUUGUAUAAGAGAGGGAGAAGUGUCUAUCCAUGUAUACGGCUGCCCCACGAUGAGGACAACGAAACCGGGCUCAAGGAAUGAACAGUUAAGCCCAUGUCCUGGAUCUCCCAUCAUAAUAACCAAGGAGCAACAUUUUGGAGCAAACUUUAUUAGUCAAGGAAGAAGCACACAAACGCUUUAUUGUAAAACGGAUUCAAUACUGUCAUAAUCUUCGUCGUCUGAAGAGGAGAAAUCAUCGGACCAAUAUGCAGCGGGUAUAUUGCUCAUCUUCGUAUUUAUUGAAGCAGGGUCAUUCGAGUAGGCAGGAUUUCAUGCAAAGACACCCUGCCAAGAAGGCCAGCCCAAGGCGUCUCAGGGCUCAACCUCUUUGUUUUCGUUCAAUGUGAAAACACUACACAAGAAGUGGGGCAGCAUAGGGUCGCCCCGACCUACGGAUUCCUGCUUUAAACUGUAAAUUAUUACUUUUUGUGUCAUCCUCAAUGAUUUUAAAUGCAUUAUGUUCACAUAUGUGGUUGUAUUUUAAAUUGGCAAAUACAUCAAAUGAAAAUCAGAACAAAUGUAAG